CUGAUUUAGCAUUAUAUAUUGCUAGAUGUUACUAGUAGAUUGUGAGAGCUUACUAGGAUCAUGAUGCAUCGAUGAUUCUUGAUAGGUAUGAGUUGGAAUUAUUCCAAUCCAUUGAAAGAAAUUUCAAUGAUACUAUGAUAGAGAUUAUAGAAUAUCUCACUAUCAGAUAGAAUUAAACCUAUGGGGUCACACAAUAAGAAAAUUAAUCUUGGAUUGAUUCAAUUGGGCCUGUGAA
RNAcentral lists this long non-coding RNA (235 nucleotides) under Elaeis guineensis (African oil palm). RNAcentral's name for it is "long non-coding RNA (EGUI_LNC064024)". The record is from RNAcentral. Lineage: Eukaryota; Viridiplantae; Streptophyta; Magnoliopsida; Arecales; Arecaceae.